Molecule: long non-coding RNA, 827 nt
Filed under: Castor canadensis (American beaver)
Lineage: Eukaryota; Metazoa; Chordata; Mammalia; Rodentia; Castoridae
Description: lncRNA (ENSCCNG00000011640.1)
Source: RNAcentral
GAUAAAAUACCUGUAUGGGUGGGACUCUGAAAGACUGAACCCAAUGUGUUUGAUCUUCAUCAUUCUUUUUCAUUUUUUGAACAGUCACAGAAAGGGAGUUGUGCUAUUUUUCUUGGUGACACAUUGCAAAGUUCAAUAAUGCACACUGCUUUAAUUUAACUCCCUUGCGAAUUCUAAUGCUUUCACUUUUCUCAUUGGAUGUGAGGAAUGGUGGUGAUAAUAGUAUAGCUGAAACUUUUCUAUUUUAUUUCUGGAUGGAUAAUUUUACUUUCUUCUGUUUUUCUUAAAAGUACUUCUUUCCAUUCUCUUAAUCAUCUUUUGACCACAUUUGAAUUCUUCCCAUGUUCUCCUUAAAAAGUAUACUAUACAUUAUCAGUAUAAGAGAUUAUACUGUAUACUGCUGAAAUCCUGAAAUUUUCUAAAUCUUAUUAUAGAAUUUUUUUUUUCUACUGUGGUUUCUGAGAUGGCACGAUGACAAAACUUAUUGCCUUGUGGAUGUCUGUUAGUUUUGCUCAUGGUUUUGUAACUGAUAACUUCAGUUUAUUAUCCAUUACAGUUGACUGUGGUCCAUUUGGUUUUAUGAAGGCCUAUAAUCAGGUCUACUAAGAAAACUUCUAAUGUAGAAAACAAGCCUAGGAGUUUGUUUGGCCUGGUGCACAUCCAUCAUCUGAUAACUGGGAUGCUUCUGUCUGCUCUCCCUGCCAUGGUGAGUGGACAGGACACUGUGGCUGACUGUGGGAAGGGCUCAUUUCCAGUCGUUGAUACUCCAUCCCCACAGAAAAAUAGGAGCCUUGAUUAAAUAAAACACUGCAGAAUUAGAUUUCCCA